GCGUUGUGUUCUUUCUCUUUCUAUUUAAACUCAACACCAUUAAUUUCAUGUCUUUCUCUAGCGGUUGUAACUGAAUGGAAAUGAGAGAAGAACCGAAGUGAGAAGGAAUGGUAAUGAAAGA
Molecule: non-coding RNA, 121 nt
Filed under: Symbiodinium sp. CCMP2430
Lineage: Eukaryota; Dinophyceae; Suessiales; Symbiodiniaceae
Source: RNAcentral